CCCUUAGAUGUUCUGGGCCGCACGCGCGCUACACUGAUGCAUUCAACGAGCCUAUCCUUGACCGACAGGUCCGGGUAAUCUCUGAAUCUGCAUCGUGACGGGGAUAGAUUAUUGCAAUUAUUAAUCUUCAACGAGGAAUGCCUAGUAGGCGCAAGUCAUCAGCUUGCGUCGAUUACGUCCCUGCCCUUUGUACACACCGCCCGUCGCUCCUACCGAUUGGGUGUGCUGGUGAAAUGUUCGGAUCGGCCGUUUGUCGCGGUUUCCGCGUCAUGUGGCUGAGAAGUUCAUUAAACCCUCCCACCGAGAGGAAGGAGAAGUCGUAACA
This 325-nucleotide ribosomal RNA is filed under the name uncultured eukaryote. RNAcentral describes it as "partial 18S ribosomal RNA". It matches the Rfam family "Eukaryotic small subunit ribosomal RNA", at positions 1470 to 1796 of the family's 1831-position model. The record is from RNAcentral.